GCCGUCUCAAGGCUUUGAUUUCUUAUUUAAUCAAAAGUACCGGUCAAGGUCAGGUUUGAAGAAUGAAAAUUAAAGUGAAAAGACUGUUUCGGGCUUAAUUACACAGUAAAGAAAUAUGUCAGCAGCACAGAAAAUAAAGAUGGUAAUGGUGUUGUUAGAGAGUUUGGCAGGAACUGGUCACAAAAUUGUACGCAUUAAACCAAAGGGGACUGAUAAACUUGAGAUGUUGUAUAAAGAUCCAAUAGUGGACCAAACUGUCCUGUACAGAGAGAUGAAGAAAAUCAGAACUUUAAAAUCGUAGGAGAGAUGUGAUAUAGAUUUUGUGAAUAUGUGAUCCACUGCUAAAGCAUACUGUGAAAAUUUAUGUGGAGGAAGCUGUUCUCCUUCAGUUCCAAUUCUCUCAAUAAGUGAAAAUGGAAAAAGAAUACCAGUGUUAGAACAGUGUUUUUAAUAAGUGAAAAAAUAAAAUAAAUUGAAGCUAAA
Long non-coding RNA from Mercenaria mercenaria, 483 nucleotides. RefSeq lists it as uncharacterized. The record is from RefSeq and is a predicted model, not a curated record. The transcript is spliced from 3 exons. Lineage: Eukaryota; Metazoa; Mollusca; Bivalvia; Venerida; Veneridae.